GGAGGGGAAGGAGGGAGGGCCUCUUUGAAAAACCAGAGAUAUAAACGAAUGAUUCUAAUAACCCGACAUGGCAGCCCUGUUUGAAACCCCCGAACAGCAACCGGAGGGGAUCUGCCCUGGGGGUGGGGACCAGGCGGGUUUCUGGAUCCGACCCCAGGAAACCUAUUUAAUCCAGCCCAGAAUGAAGGAGAGCCCACCUGUGGAUCCUACCACUGUCGAACUGCUCUGAUGUUAGGAGGCUCUUAAGGAGCUUUGGUCCCAAAUGACUCCAUGUGGAACAAUUUUGAGAAACUUCAGGGCUGCCAUUGGUCUCCCUGGACGAGAAACACGACCCAAAUCAAGUCCUUCUGGGUCCCUCAAAGCCGCCAUCCGAAGGGACGCCUCCACCGCGGUGCCUGUUCUGACCCAGCUUCUCUCUCACUGCGGGCAAACAAGUCCAUCCCUCCAGGAGAUAAAGACAUCAGUUGCCUGCCACAUCUAUCCAUCUCUGUCCCCUGGCUUUGAUCCCCAGAGCCAGGGUGGGGCUUCGCUAGCAGCAGCGGCUUUUCCAUCCCAAGGACUGGCUCAUAGGUUUCCACUGCUCUCCUCUCCUCUGCACAUCAAGCACUGGGCCUGGAUGUUCCUCCUCUUCUCUCUUUCUCUCUUCAAUACUCUCAUCCCUCCCUCCCAUAAUGGUCUACCAUCCCUCCAUCUGAUAAUGGUUUACCAUCCACCCAUCCAUCCGAUAAUAGUCUACCUACCAUCCAUGCGCCUAUCUACCCAUCCAUCCAAUAAGAGUCUACCAUCCCUCCCUCCCUCCCUCCCUCCCUCCUCCCUCCCUCCAUCCAACCAACAACCCAUCCACCGGUCUCUCUGCCUGUCAUCCAUCCCACCAUAUCCGUCCAUCCACCCUCCCACCUCCUCAUCUACACGGAUGCUGCCUCAGCCACCGGCUACAUCGUCACUGCGUGCUCAGCCUUGUUUCAACACAAGAAAGAGUUCAGCUGGUCUCCCUUAUUGGGUGCGGGAGCAGAACGGUAGCUGACAAAGCUGCUGGUCAGAACCGGUCCAGCUC
Molecule: long non-coding RNA, 1054 nt
Filed under: Notechis scutatus (mainland tiger snake)
Lineage: Eukaryota; Metazoa; Chordata; Lepidosauria; Squamata; Elapidae
Description: lncRNA (ENSNSUG00000011497.1)
Source: RNAcentral